GCGGAGGAAAAGAAACCAACAGGGAUUGCCCCAGUAACGGCGAGUGAAGCGGCAACAGCUCAAAUUUGAAAUCUGGCCCCCCCGCGGGGUCCGAGUUGUAAUUUGAAGAGGAUGCUUCUGGCGAGGCGCCGUCCGAGUUCCCUGGAACGGGACGCCGCAGAGGGUGAGAGCCCCGUACGGUCGGACGCCGAGCCUCUGUGAAGCUCCUUCGACGAGUCGAGUAGUUUGGGAAUGCUGCUCAAAAUGGGAGGUAAACCCCUUCUAAAGCUAAAUACCAGCCAGAGACCGAUAGCGCACAAGUAGAGUGAUCGAAAGAUGAAAAGCACUUUGAAAAGAGAGUUAAAAAGCACGUGAAAUUGUUGAAAGGGAAGCGCUUGCGACCAGACUCGCGCCCGUCGGAUCAGCCGUCGCUCGCGGCGGCGCACUCCGGCGGGCUCGGGCCAGCAUCAGUUCGUUGGGGGGGAGAAAGGCGGCGGGAAUGUGGCUCUACGGAGUGUUAUAGCCCGCCGCGUAAUGCCCCCUGGCGGACUGAGGACCGCGCGUAGCA
RNAcentral lists this ribosomal RNA (547 nucleotides) under Microascus murinus. RNAcentral's name for it is "eukaryotic LSU rRNA". It matches the Rfam family "Eukaryotic large subunit ribosomal RNA", at positions 50 to 604 of the family's 3401-position model. Lineage: Eukaryota; Fungi; Ascomycota; Sordariomycetes; Microascales; Microascaceae. The record is from RNAcentral.